This 337-nucleotide unclassified non-coding RNA is filed under the name soil metagenome. Its description in RNAcentral is "partial contains 5.8S ribosomal RNA, internal transcribed spacer 2, and large subunit ribosomal RNA". The stretch from base 1 to 120 matches the Rfam family "5.8S ribosomal RNA", at positions 35 to 154 of the family's 154-position model. The record is from RNAcentral.
GAUGAAGAACGUAGCGAAAUGCGAUAAGUAAUGUGAAUUGCAGAAUUCAGUGAAUCAUCGAAUCUUUGAACGCACAUUGCGCCCCUUGGUAUUCCGAGGGGCAUGCCUGUUCGAGCGUCAUUACACCACUCAAGCUAUGCUUGGUAUUGGGCGUCGUCCUUGGUUGGGCGCGCCUUAAAGACCUCGGCGAGGCCACUCCGGCUUUAGGCGUAGUAGAAUUUAUUCGAACGUCUGUCAAAGGAGAGGAACUCUGCCGACUGAAACCUUUAUUUUUCUAGGUUGACCUCGGAUCAGGUAGGGAUACCCGCUGAACUUAAGCAUAUCAAUAAGCGGAGGA